CAAUCAUCGCAUUAUGCAAUUCGAAAUCAAUUCAAACAAUAAUCAUCAAGUGUCGGCUACUGCCUGUUCGGAUAUAGAAUACUAUAUAAGAUAAAGAGAAUGAGCUCAUUUAAAAUCAUUAAAAGUUGGCGACUGCUUGUGCGGAUAUGUGUGGUUUUAUACACUCUAUGAUAAUGGGCAAUAACACACAAUUGCAAGUAUUGAUACAUAUUUCUGGCAAAAGCACAACCUCUCGGCCAGGUUCAAGGUUGUUUAGCCAUUAGCACACAAUUUUGUUGUGGUUUUCCAUAUAUUUUUAGAUAUUUUAUCAUGCAACAGCUGACGGCGACAAGUUGUAGCUUUUGCUGAGAGGAAAGUGGCUCACGGCUACAAAAUAGCGACUGCGAAAGUAGCGAAGCGCACACAGGUGCCAAAAAGCAGCAAAAAGAUCUCCGGAUAUAGCCAGGUAUACAUAUUCAAAUAUAUAGGAAAAUUUAUGUGUGUUUAUGGCCACUAUACCCACAUGAAAUCUUGCGAUCUCUACCAUACCGCACCAUUGGCCAACCCUAAGUUUUUAUAAUUAAUCUCAGUCUGCACGCGUUUUGUUUACGCUGGGAAAAAAAGUUUAAAAAACAUGAUAAAGAAAACAAAAUUCCCCUACUUUUGUGUAGAGGUAAACAAUAUUGGCGUCAUCAAGAAGAUGCCAACGAAAUAGAAAACAAUAACAAAAUAGAAAACUAUUUGGGCCCGACAGCACUUUAAACUCAAAUAAACAAGCCCCAGUGAAAUGCUGGGUCUCUGCUGCUUCGUUUAUCUAAUCGGAAAACUGGAAAAGCGGCCAGCAUCAAAGGGAGUGGACUGAACCAUGGCCAAUCCUAAGUGAACCCCACUGUUCCGAGCAUUUCUUUCUGGGUUAUUGCGCACAAACUCCGCCAGCUCGGACCCACCCACCCUCUGAAUAACCCCCUCUAUAAGCAUAGCUUGGAGAUACUGCGCAGUUCGGGACAUCGAAUCGCUAUGACACAGAGCCAAAUGACGGACGCCAACGCAUCGACAGAAGCUAAAUGCGACAUCAAGUGAAGCAACUUUGUACUCGUUUUAUGUUUUCAUUUGGAUGGACAAGCAUUUGUGGAAUUGCUUAUGCUUCCAUGCAUAUGAAUGCUUUUUAGCUGCAGUAAGUGGAAUUUUAGAGGCAUUGUAAUGGAUACCAUAUGCGGUGGAACAAUAUGAUCAUGGGUUGCUUAUGAGAUACUUGACGUUUUGUGAUGACGUUAAUGUUUCCCUUAAAAAUAAUUUGUUUCAAUACAAAUAUUUUUAUAAAUUCUCAAAAAAUGGGUCAGGGUUUUCCAAAAAUUAAUAACAUUUUAAAAAGCAUUAUUAAAAUAUAUUCAAUUAUUUCUUUAAAAUUUCAUUAUCAUUUGAAUGGUUUAUAUGUAUACUAACAGCCAGAUCUGCCAAGCCCAAAAAGACCCCCAGCAAAGCUCCUCGAAAAAUGACGCAAACGCUUCUUUGAUGUCACAGAGGCACACACGCACACAUCGCCCUCAAAACAAAGAGACACUUGUGAGGUUCCACUGUACCAGUACCUCUGAGUAUCGAGGUUCAUUGUGUGGUGCCUGCUUAUCAAACGAUCGAUGAUAAAUGUGGGAUUGCAGGUUCCCUGCCUCCACGUAUGGGUACAUAUAGAAUUUCAAGUUCGCGUACCUUGCUGCACUUUGGCUGUACAUAUUAAUGGCAUUUAGAUGUGCUUUUUAUUAUAUAUGUAUAUAUAUAAAUGGAUGUUUUAUAACGCGUAAUUUCAAUUAGUACGUGAGACGCAGUUGAGUUUACUCAAUGUGUCUCUUCUUAGGCAAAGGCAAAUCCCCUGGGCACGACGCAUAUUUUUUAUCACUUUGUUUAUCAGUAUCAGUUCCAGGUCCAGCUGUCGUAUAUAGAAUUCUGGGUCAUCGGCGUCUAUGGCCCCCGUCUAUGGGAAAACAAUCAAUCAAUCUAUCUAAUAUUACGGCAGUCAAUAGAUUUGCGCGCCCUUCUGGCGGAUUACAUCAGACGCUCAACUGGUGACUCGGAAAUGACUAGACUCAAUACCAUCAUGAUGACUUUAAAUAUAGCCGAGAGUCGUAAUUAAAUAAUAUGGCUUCUAACACGUGUGCAAUUGUAAAAAGAGUAAUACACUAAGAAAAUAUAUAAUAAUAUUAUUAUUAUAUAAUAUAUAUUCUAUCUAACUUCGGAGAUUUAAAAUCUGCCAAUGUGGUGCCCGAAUGUAUGCACUAUUAUUUUUACGAAGUAC
Molecule: long non-coding RNA, 2266 nt
Organism: Drosophila subpulchrella
Lineage: Eukaryota; Metazoa; Arthropoda; Insecta; Diptera; Drosophilidae
Exons: 3
Source: RefSeq, a predicted model, not a curated record